This 504-nucleotide ribosomal RNA is filed under the name uncultured Candidatus Saccharibacteria bacterium. RNAcentral describes it as "bacterial SSU rRNA". It matches the Rfam family "Bacterial small subunit ribosomal RNA", at positions 547 to 1049 of the family's 1533-position model. Lineage: Bacteria; Candidatus Saccharimonadota. The record is from RNAcentral.
GGAAUUACUGGGCGUAAAGAGUUGCGUAGGUGGCAUCGUAAGUUGAUAGUGAAAGAGUCCGGCUCAACCGGAUAGACAUUAUCAAAACUGCGAAGCUAGAGGACGAGAGAGGUUAUUGGAAUUCCUAGUGUAGGAGUGAAAUCCGUAGAUAUUAGGAGGAACACCGAUGGCGUAGGCAGAUAACUGGCUCGUUCCUGACACUAAGGCACGAAAGCGUGGGGAGCAAACGGGAUUAGAUACCCCGGUAGUCCACGCCGUAAACGAUGGAUGCUAGCUGUUUGAGGUAUCGACCCCUCAUGUAGCGAAGCUAACGCGUUAAGCAUCCCGCCUGUGGAGUACGGUCGCAGGACUAAAACAUAAAGGAAUUGACGGGGACCCGCACAAGCGGUGGAGCGUGUUGUUUAAUUCGACGGUAAGCGAAGAACCUUACCCGGGUUUGACAUCCUUGGAAUUUCUCCGAAAGGAGAAAGUGCUUUUAGAGCCAAGUGACAGGUGUUGCAUGGA